AUGCUCGGCCGGAGUGGAGGAGUGGAGAGGAUUUGUGAUGGGUCGGGUCCUUGCGAGUUAAGUAAGUGUGCGUGCGACGGUGCGAACGGGCGCUCGAGUGGGAACGUGGGCUCUGCGCGUCUACUACGUGGAGGCCACCGCUGCUCUUCUGCUCCUUCUUCUGCUGCUCCGGGACUCUGUGGACGCCGUGCUACGUGCCGCCCUGUGAUGUGUCCGUGUCUCCGGACGGACGGUGCGAUCGGUGGACACGCCUCAACUGUGGCAAUGUUGGGGAUACGCCGGCUCGCGCGCCCGAGGCUAAAGUCCGGCUAUUUAAGCCGCACGGCUUCCCCUAGCCCUAGUCACAUCUUCUUCAUCCUCCUUUGCGCCUCCGGUCUGAGCCCAUCCAUAUCUCUUCGUCUCUGUCUCCCUCUUUCCUCGCCGCCUGUCUUCGUCAUGGCCCAGUAG
This 447-nucleotide ribosomal RNA is filed under the name Triticum aestivum (bread wheat). RNAcentral describes it as "partial small subunit ribosomal RNA". The record is from RNAcentral. Lineage: Eukaryota; Viridiplantae; Streptophyta; Magnoliopsida; Poales; Poaceae.